Molecule: ribosomal RNA, 357 nt
Filed under: Triticum aestivum (bread wheat)
Lineage: Eukaryota; Viridiplantae; Streptophyta; Magnoliopsida; Poales; Poaceae
Description: partial small subunit ribosomal RNA
Source: RNAcentral
AUGACCGAUGCUUUGUCAAGGGCUCAUAUGAGAGAAGAAAAGGAGGCUGGAGAUGCAGAGAAAGAAGCUCUAAGCUCAACAAAGGCAUCAGUUGCACAAGAGCAUUCAGAAACAUCCAUUUUGCCUGAUUUUUGGUUUGACAAGGAUGAAAACGUCGGCAUUGGAGUCGUGGCCGUGGCAGGGAAGGCGAACCCAGCGCAGCUCUGCCAGUGGCUCAAGAGGAAGAUAAGCAAGGAUGUCAAGAUUUUCCGCCAUUGUCCACACGGGCUGAGAAUUGUAAUAAGCAGGGCUAGCCGUGUGGGGUUAAGGUGCUUGCCGGCGGCGACCUGCGUGGCUCUCAGCCUGCAUCCUCGCUGA